Non-coding RNA from Helianthus annuus (common sunflower), 104 nucleotides. The record is from Rfam. NCBI's taxonomy places the organism in Eukaryota, Viridiplantae, Streptophyta, Magnoliopsida, Asterales, Asteraceae.
GUUAGUGCGGUGAUGAAGCAUAUAUUGUGGACUAGAGUUUCUGAUAUUGGGCUCUUCUUCCCAUUUUAUUUUGACGACAAACCCUUGGCUGUCAGAGCACUAUA